GAAGACAAAAAUCCUUCAAUUUAUACGUCGGUUCUGAAUGAAUGUGACGUCUACGUUCCUGUAAUUGAUUAUUUUCACCAAAUUCGAGGGUUUUAGACGUCGGCUAGGAGUGGCAUCGAAGUGAACUACCCUGAUAGGAAAUCAAGCGUCAAUCUUUUCAGCUUCUUUAAGAAGAAUAGACGUCGGAUCCCGAUCAAACACUGACAUCUAGAGACGUCGGUUUCUGGCACAACCGACGCCCAAUUUCAUUUUAAAUAAACCGCAGACCCUUCUAACCACUCAGUUUCUGAUCGCAUCUUCAUCUUUUCUCCUUUUUCUCUGCUUCUCCUCUUCUUUUACUCCCUUGCGCACCUCUACUUUUUAUCUCUUCCGGCACUGCAUUAUAUUUUCUCAUAACGUCAUUGUCUUCGUCCUCUCCUUUUUCUCUCUUCAUCUCAGGUGCGUGGUUUUUCUUACGCUUACCGUUUAAACUUUCUUUAGUUUUUUAUCGAUUAUCUUGUCGUUCAACUUAUUAAAAUUUGCCUUUUUUGUGUUGUGUUUUAGUGCAGUUUUGAUCCACUCUUUGGGUAACAUAGUGCAACAUUCUCCCUUUGCUAGUUUCCUCACUAAAAGAGUGGCGAUCUUUUGAGUUUUUUAGUUCUUCCGACCCAAAAUGGAACUUGGGUCCUUGUCUACUUCUCGACAUCGUAAUUUUUUCUGUUGCGGUUGAAUAAUUGGAAGUAGCCAUGGACCCAGGUUCGGUUUUGGGUUGAAAGCACUAGAAGAUUCAAAAGACGCAAGCUUUUUUUGUGGGGAAACUAGCGAGAGGAGAGUGUUACACAAUGCUACCGAAAGCCUAGAUCAAAACUGCACUAAAACACAAAGUCGUUGUUAGACGUCUGUUAAAGCCAU
Molecule: long non-coding RNA, 891 nt
Filed under: Vigna radiata
Lineage: Eukaryota; Viridiplantae; Streptophyta; Magnoliopsida; Fabales; Fabaceae
Description: long non-coding RNA (VRAD_LNC018136)
Source: RNAcentral